GUGAACGUCAACUGGCAGUAAGGAUUACGGGAGUAGCGUAAUCAGUCUUCCAAACUGAUUACGCGGGUUCGAUUCCCGUCAUCCGCU
Molecule: transfer RNA, 87 nt
Filed under: Bifidobacterium miconis
Lineage: Bacteria; Bacillati; Actinomycetota; Actinomycetes; Bifidobacteriales; Bifidobacteriaceae
Description: Bifidobacterium sp. 82T10 tRNA-Ser
Rfam family: tRNA (bases 27-87)
About the family: Transfer RNA (tRNA) molecules are approximately 80 nucleotides in length. Their secondary structure includes four short double-helical elements and three loops (D, anti-codon, and T loops).
Source: RNAcentral